RNAcentral lists this unclassified non-coding RNA (347 nucleotides) under Hevea brasiliensis (rubber tree). Lineage: Eukaryota; Viridiplantae; Streptophyta; Magnoliopsida; Malpighiales; Euphorbiaceae. The record is from RNAcentral.
CACUCUUCAUAAUAUUCAAAACUCUAAGCUUCUCUUCAAUGCUAUACCCCCUGCAAUUAAGCCAAGCAUCCCUUAUCUGACAUAAAUUACUGACCAUAUUAUUCUGAUGCUUCCUCAAAAGAUGGUAAUGCUGCCGCUUCUGAAAGAAACCCAAACCCUCUCUAUAAAGAGCAACCCUUGGCUCACACAACCCUCGUUUUAACAUCUCAAACAGCUUCUUAAUAGGGCUGCCAAAAUGGAAAUUCUGACCCUCAAAAAGCUCUUUAAGAGUUCGCAUAAAGGUGCCCUGAUCCAAAUCAGGCAGAUAUUUAGUGAGGCUAAAUCUCUCCUCGUCAGUUAAAACUUCA